GCUGAGAGGGAGAGCCAAUGGGAAGCCAAACCCACCGAGGCUGCCACGUGAUCGAAGGCAGAAGUGGGUGGGGAAACAAGGAGGCCCAAACAGCUGUGGAGCAGCCCUUUAGAGACGCCUGGAUUCGGAGAAAUAAGGAAGAAUCCCAGUUUGCCCUCCAUCAUGACUAACAUCUGUCGGGAGUGUCUGCCGGAAGCUUUUCCUUGUCUCCGCAGUAUGUUUUCUGAUUAAUACUGAAGCCCCUUGCUGUUACCAAGAUGUGCAGGCCUGCACUAACCUAAUACCAUCAGAGAAGCAGUUUACUUUUUAAAAAAUGUACAGAUUCACAUCUUCUGAUGAAUUAACCUGUGGCUAAUGUGAGCCAGUCCUGCUUCUCCGACAGAUGCAUCUUUCUGAUAGAUACAACUGACAAAAUAUAUUUUCUGCUUGCAUAUAUUGCAAUGAAAAUAAAUUGAGAUUUCUUAACACA
Molecule: long non-coding RNA, 469 nt
Organism: Anolis carolinensis (green anole)
Lineage: Eukaryota; Metazoa; Chordata; Lepidosauria; Squamata; Anolidae
Exons: 3
Source: RefSeq, a predicted model, not a curated record